RNAcentral lists this long non-coding RNA (2404 nucleotides) under Physcomitrium patens. RNAcentral describes it as "long non-coding RNA (PPAT_LNC002567)". Lineage: Eukaryota; Viridiplantae; Streptophyta; Bryopsida; Funariales; Funariaceae. The record is from RNAcentral.
CUUUGAACAAAACCACUCACUUACUGCCUUUGAUUUGAAUGCAUUGUCUUUAAUUCCCUAUAACUCCUUCAUGUAAACUGCAAAUGCAAAAUUUCCUUUGCAAAAGAUGUAUGUCUUGAAGUUGCUCUUCCAGCCGCACCUUUCGAUUUCCAAAAGCUUUCGUAAGACUCCUCUUAAAUUCAAAAGAGUAAUAGUAGGUCUCAAAUUGACACCUUAACUUCAAACGGCUAUAACUUAUUCACCCUCAUUCCAAACCCUAUAAAAUUUACACAAAAAUUGUAGCCAAAUCCUAAACUUUACAACCCUUGCCUUUGAUUUCCUAAUGGCCUCUUUGAAGUCGCCAAAAUCCUUAUCAAGGUCGCGGAUAGCCUCCUAAAAGUCCAUUCGGCAUGGAUUUCGACCAAUGGAGAUGAAGAUCCUUAUUUCUACCUUCAUCCAACCAUGCCUUGGUUUCAUCCCUCUCAAUUAACCUCCUAUUAGUUUAAAUCUUUAUCUUUAGGCUUCUACCUUCUCCCAAGGCUUCAUACUAAACAUUUAGGUCCUAUAUAUAUAUAUAUAUAUAUAUAUAUAUAUAUUUAAUGUCAAAACCAAAAGAAAUAAAGAAACAAAGUAAAGUUUCUUAUACCAACUCUUUUUAAUUUAAUCUACUAGCCACUCUAACACACAUCUAGAUUUAUCAACAUAUAAUAUGUUUUAUUUAAUUUUUACAUACUGUAAACAUUUACAAUACGUCACCGCAACCUCCAAUCUAUGGAUGAAUUAUACUUUUUCUACUACGAAAGACCAAGAAUAAUAGGAUUUGAUGAGGUUCUAAUAAUAUUGAAAAUAAUAUGAGUACAAUGGCCCUUAAACGUCACUUCUAUAGGUUUUGAUUCAUAGGUGACACUACCAGACAAUAAAAGUCGCCCAUCUAUGACCUCAACGUGAACAGGUUUGGAUUUUUGUACUAAAGAGAUCUUAUGAUGCUUCGCAAAUUCUUCGUCUAAGAAACCAGCAUAUGCUCCUAAAUCUAAUAAUGCUAAGGUUCUCAGUUUCUAAUGGCCAAUAAAUAAAGAGAUUGUAAAACAAAUGGCAGGUUGAGUGGAAAGAAAGGAACCUAGUUGUUGUUUCGAUAUUUCACUAUCUAGUCGCACAAUUCCUUUUGUGGCUGGGCAUCUUCGUUUUUCUGAGCAAACGCACCUCUGGUCCUGACAAUGCAUCGAUUUUGCUUCUUGGGGCAGUUUCCAACUUUGUGGCCUUCUUCACCGCAAUACAAGCAUAGACCUUCCUCUAUAUGCUAUUUUUUUUCUUCUAGAGUAAAGAAUUUGACAUGUACUGCAUCAAUUUGUAUGUCUUCUACCUUUGAAUGUGAAUUCACGCUGAUUGUUAAUAUAGUUGAGGUGUGGUAAACCAUAUGUUGUCUUGAGCAUUGGUCUUGGCGACGUUGGAAUAGGCAGUUACCGCACUUCACAGCUUAGCUAAUAGCUUUGUUGAACAUUGUUGGGGUAGAGAGAGUUUGCCUCAAGAAAACGUUGGGCUUUUGGUUGUCACUAAUUAUUCAAUCAAGCUUGAAAAUAAGAGAAGCCCUAAGUUUAUAUAUAAUUUUUUUUUCUUUCUGAGUAAUUACACCAAAUACACAAUCCUCAAGUAACCCACAACUUCCAAAAUAUGAUAAAAUCUUCUAAAUCCUUGUUUAUUCUUAUGUGGAGAUUUUUCCGAAAUUCAACACUUCAUAUCUCUUAAUCCGACCGUCCAAACAAACUCAAAUUUUACAUGAGAUACUGAUGUAUUCUUAUUAACUUCUAUAACGAUUUUCAACCGCAAAUUCAUUGCAGAUCUUGAGAUAUCUUGAAAUCCCUAACAGUCGCUUCAAACCCUUGUCUUUAUACAUCUGCGUGUAAUUUUCUUCAUAUCUGACAAAAUAUAAGCUCAAAUGCUACGAAAUUUGUAUGUAUAGCUUUUUAACACAAAAUUUUACAUUCUCCAAAAAGUUUGAGCCAAAAAUUCGUCCGAAAAAUCAAGUUAUGGCUUCAACCAUUACUACAAAUAAAUCAGCUUACUUAUUGCUUUUGAUUUGGAAGUGUCGCCUUCAACUCCUUACAACUCCUUCAUAUGAACUCCAAAAGCAAUAAUUCUUUUGUAAAAGAUGUAGGCCGUAAAAUCGCCAUUCUAGUCGCACCUUUCAAUCUUCAAAAGCUACUGUAAAACUCCUCGUACUCUCAAAAGAGUAACAGUAUGUCUUAAAUAAACACCUUAACUUCAAACGGUUAUGACUUUUCACCCUAACUCCAAAUCCUCUAAUUUUUGUAAAAAAAUUGUUCUCCAAAUCUUAGACUUUACAACCCUAGCUUCUAAUAUCCAAAUGCCUCUUUUGAAGUCAUCGAAACCCUUCUUAAGGUCGCAGGCAGCCUCCUCAAAGCCCAUU